GACGAACGCUGGCGGCGUGCUUAACACAUGCAAGUCGAACGGAAAGGCCCUGCUUUUGUGGGGUGCUCGAGUGGCGAACGGGUGAGUAACACGUGAGUAACCUGCCCUUGACUUUGGGAUAACUUCAGGAAACUGGGGCUAAUACCGGAUAGGAGCUCCUGCUGCAUGGUGGGGGUUGGAAAGUUUCGGCGGUUGGGGAUGGACUCGCGGCUUAUCAGCUUGUUGGUGGGGUAGUGGCUUACCAAGGCUUUGACGGGUAGCCGGCCUGAGAGGGUGACCGGCCACAUUGGGUCUGAGAUACGGCCCAGACUCCUACGGGAGGCAGCAGUAGGGAAUAUUGCACAAUGGGCGGAAGCCUGAUGCAGCAACGCCGCGUGCGGGAUGACGGCCUUCGGGUUGUAACCCGCUUUCGCCUGUGACGAAGCGUGAGUGACGGUAAUGUUUAAAGAAGCACCGGCUAACUACGUG
This 468-nucleotide ribosomal RNA is filed under the name uncultured bacterium. Its description in RNAcentral is "partial 16S ribosomal RNA". It matches the Rfam family "Bacterial small subunit ribosomal RNA", at positions 28 to 507 of the family's 1533-position model. The record is from RNAcentral.